AGCUUUUGAGAUGCCAUUAUAUGUGUUGGUUGGGUGAUCAGGAGCAUGUAUAGGGGGCUAUGGUGCAUAGGUGGGCUUUAUAGGGUUAAUUCAAUCCCAUGAGCAUUAAAAUUCAAAUCAUUUUAUAAGAUUGUGUAUCUACUUAAUUUAGUGUGGAUAUCUCAUUUUUUUGGUAAUGUAUCAAUCUUCUUAUAAGAAGAUAAUGCAAGCAUUUAAACCAGUAUCACUAGUCACAUAUACUCUU
RNAcentral lists this long non-coding RNA (244 nucleotides) under Carica papaya (papaya). RNAcentral describes it as "long non-coding RNA (CPAP_LNC004452)". Lineage: Eukaryota; Viridiplantae; Streptophyta; Magnoliopsida; Brassicales; Caricaceae. The record is from RNAcentral.